RNA transcript from Mobula hypostoma (lesser devil ray), 3856 nucleotides. It is a transcript of the gene named transmembrane protein 268, with no coding region annotated. The transcript has 14 exons. Lineage: Eukaryota; Metazoa; Chordata; Chondrichthyes; Myliobatiformes; Myliobatidae. The record is from RefSeq and is a predicted model, not a curated record.
GGGAAGGGAGGCGGGUUCAUUGGGCAUGAUGAAGUUCGGCUGCGCCGCGCCGCUUUUUCAAUGUCCGAGGGAAGUAAUCUGUACGAAGUGACGAUCAGCCGCGAUGGGGGAAGGGGAAUUCCAGGAAACAAGAAGUAUUUGAUUGUGGACUUCAGGAAGGGGAAUUCCAGGAAACACACAUCAGCCAUCAUCGAGGAAUCAGCAGGAGAAAGAGUGAGCAGUUUUCAAGUUCCUGGGUGUCAACAUCUCUGAACCUCUACCCUAGGACCAAUCUAUUCAUGCAAAUACAAAGAAGCUCAGCCUUGAUCAUGCCCGAGGUAUACCCCUGAUGAAACAUUGACAGAGAACUGUGUAAUGGCACAUAAUGAUGACGGGGAUAGGAUCUCGCCAGCUCCAACCUCCUUGACGUCGUUCGAAGCAGUGGAAGAAGCAGACAUUAUUCACUGGAUAAAUGAACCAAACGGACUAGGCCACCUCAGUCGCAGUAGCAGCACCAACGACCCAGAGCUGUGUUCUGUGUCCGAGACCCCAGAAUUGUAUAAUGGCCGCACUUUAUCAGUCCUCACUUCCAGUGCCAAUUGGUGGUCUCGGGGAUUCGAUCUCGAGUCAUGUGAGGAUAAUCUUGCCCGAUUUGGAAUCCAGAUACCACCGGAAGAUUACAAGCUGCCCAUUGAAGCAUCCCUGAUGACCUCUGAAGUCAGAAGAUACAUGUACUUCAGUUCCAGUGGCUUCCUGAUGCUCUUCGCCCCCGUUUUCUAUAUCGCCACGUGGUGCUGCCUGUUCUCCACCUUUCAUGUCUACAUGAGCCAGUAUCUGAAGAGUUUCUUCUGGGCUUUCUGCCUGCUGGUCAGUGCCGUCGCCGUGCUGCUCACCACAGCUCUGCUUCUCAUUCUGCGCUCACACUACAGCAGGAUUAAUGUGAACACAGAUGUGCGUCUCAUGUGGGCCAACGAGAGCCUGGCAAAGCACAACAUCUUGGUCGGAGUACUGGACGUGACAAGAUACUGCACAAGUGUACUACAUCUUUGUCUCAUUUACUUCAACCUUGAGGAGUGCAAGGCGAGGCUCGCUGCUCUGCUGGAAGCAAGACAUCUCUCAGGCCCUGGGCUCCAGUCCUUUCUGCGUCAGAAGCUGGGACACCUCUGCAUCGUGGUGGAAACGAGCCAAGUGAGUCCUCUGAUUGAGGUGGAUGCAGGGUCUGAAGAGGCUCCACUGUUACCCGGGAACGGUGACGGGGCUCUCAGUAAUGGCAAUCAGCAACCACAGCACGUUUUUAACACAUUGACGUGCCUGGUCCCUGAAGGUACAUCUGAGGAGAUCGCCUACCAGCUGCUGCUCACAUUCAGUGGACUUUAUGUAAAGCUACACGUUCUGAAGCAGCUGCCUCGCACCAGGGCUUCCGUUCACACGGACGUGGCGCACGUCCCUUGUCUUUGCCAGUACGUCGAGACUUCAGUAUUGAACCUAUCAGGUGGCGAGCCGUAGGCAUCAACUUAACUGUGAACUUUAACUGUGAACGCAGGUAGCAAUGUCGGACUUUGAACAGCAACCGUGUUGAGCGAUCUGCUAGGCCGAGUGCAAUUGAAUCUGGAAAUUAUAAGGACGCUUCUGGUAAUGGUCUCCAACUUCCCUCAGCAUUUCCUGUUCCCUUUCCCUCUAUCAUCUCAUCUCCUUGCCUGCCCAUCACCUCCCUCUGGUGCUCCUCCCCCUUCCCUUUCUUCCAUGGCCUUCUGUCCUCUUCUAUCAGAGUCCCCCUUCUCCAACCCUUUAUCUCUUUCAGCUAUCGACUUCCCAGCUCUUCACUUCACCCCUCCCCUUCUCCCGGUUUCACCUAUCACCUACUACCUUGUACUUCUUCCUCUCCCCCCGCCCCCCACCUUCUUACUCUGACUUUACAUCGCUUCUUCUCCAGUCCUGAUGAAGGGUCUCGGCCCAGAACAUCGACUGUUUACUCUUUUCCAGAGGCGGUGCCUGGCCUGCUGAGUUCCUCCAGCAUUUUGUGUGUGUUGCUUACAAGGACACUUGUAUGUCUGUUGAUCAGCCGCCCAUCUGCUGAUGCCAGUGACUUUGGCAUCUCAUCAAGGAGUGUGAACAGAGAACAGUACAGGCCCUUUGGGCCACGGAGUGCUGACCUAUUAACCGACGCUAGAAUUAAUCCAACCCUUCCCUCCCAAUAACCCUCCAUAUUUCUAUCAUCCAUGUGUCUGCCUCCACCACCACCACCCAAGGCGGAGCAUUCCACGCAUUCACCACUCUCUGUAAAAAACCAGUAAUUACCUAGUAAAACCUAGGAGCAUAAUUAGGCCAUUCAGCCCAUCCGUCUGUUCUGCCAUUCCAUCAUUUAUUUUCCCUCUCAACAUUUUCCUGCCUUCUCCCCUUAAACUUUAAUGCUGUUACUAACCAAUAAACUGUUAAUAUCUGCCUUAAAUAUAUCCCAUGACUUGGUCUCGGUAGCCAUCUGUGGCAAUGAGUUCCACAGAUUCACCUCCCUCGGGCUGAAGAAAUUCCUCCUCAUCUCACAGCUGACAUCCACUCUCGCGUCUGGAGUUUACUCAGUCUUUUGCACUUUGUCUUGUUUAUCCACAGCUGAUCCACACCCACUGGGUGGGGCAGUUGGAAUUCCCCACAUCUUUCUGUCUUUUCUUCCUCCCCUUCCCCCCACCAAAUAUUUUUUUAUCUCUGCACCCUGGUAGCCACACCCAGCAGGAGAAUCAUGGGGCAUUGCCCAGUUUCCAACCCAUUUGACAUUGGUGGAAAGCUGCAGGUUGAACUGUGAGCAGCUGUGACGGAAUUCGUUGCAGUUCACUGUGGUGGGAGUGUUAUACAACUGUAACUGGUCUGUCCAUGGUCACCUCUAUUGCCACGAUGAGUCCACUCUCAGCUGGAAGGGAAACACCUCAUUGCUCGCCUGGGUGGCUUCCUGCCUGAUGGCAUGAACAUCGAUUUCUCACCCCUCCCUCCUCUCUUUUUCCAUUCCCCACUCUGGCUCCCCUCUCUUCAUCGCCCAAAAGAAAAAUCGGAGAUGAGGAUGAGAACUCUGACCGAAUUUAUCCCCCCACGACCAGGCUCUGUGAUUAUUGCUUAAUGCUUAUCUGCUCGGAAUGUGAACUGACAUCUCCCUGCGGAUGCAGGCUGCGUUCUGAUUAUUUGGAACACUUCACUCGUAAGUUUGUUUCUGGAUGAAUUGCGUGAAUCAGCAUUGCAAAUGAGACAGAUUUGUCGGAGCCUGCCAUUGAACCAAUGAGGAACCGCGGCCGCGGAUGACUGGCGGCUGGGCUGGUCGGCCUGGUGUAUAUUGUGUUGUAGGUCCCCCCUACGCCUCAAAGGUCGGCCUUUAUUUGGACGCAUCGCGUUACAGCAGCUGUGGCAGUUCAAGGCGGAAGUGUCCGACUGAGCGAAGGCAUUCAUUGACUGGUUUUUCUUUCUGGAGAGAAAGAACCUAAAAGCAGGAACAAAAGAUGGCCUGACUAAUCAUAGAAGGCUGCCGCUAUCUGGCAGACAAGAUUGGCAGUGCUUUAAGCUCCUCCAGUAAGACCAAGGCUCAAAGCAGCCAAGUCAAAGGUGCAAAGUAUGUUCUGGCGAAUACAUCACAGAAUGAUGAUUUGCUCCCAACACUGCCGAAAUCCGGACCUGUGGUCAAGCAGUGUGGGUCCUGAGGGUAAAGGCUGCACUGGUCUCGCUCCUGGCGACGCAGAUCAGUGCAUUAUGGUGGCUUCCUGACAAGACUACAUACUGUACGUGCAUCAUGGCAAAGAAUGACGAUUUCCUCAGUAACUCCCUGCCCAGGGAGAUGAGCACUUCUGAAAAUACGUGCUGUGUUUUUAAAGUUUUCCAAUUAAAAAUCACUUGUACUUAA